GCACCUGCUGCUUCUCCCUGUGGUUCUGCUGCCUCCGCUCCUCUCUGCGCAGGCUCACGUUCUGCCCAGCGAAUGACGUUCUUUCUUAAAGGCCCAACCGCUCAGCGAUGACUCCAGAUAGAUUCCUUAACUGAACUUCAGCGGCUGCCUGCCGUUCAGACCUCUAAGACAUCGUCUUUUUGAAGACUUCUACCAACAGAUCUCGCUGAGAAACAAUAUGAAAUAAAAAAUACUUUUUCCUCUAGGAUUUUUUUAGUAACCCAAGGGUGCUGUGUUUUCUUCUUGGUCUGCGUGAUAAGAAGAGUAACAGCUAAGGACAGUAGCACACAUGUGUAAUUCCAGAGGCUAAAGCAGGAGGAUUGCAAACUUGAGUAGAGCCUGGGCAAUUUAGAAGCUUAGCAAGACCCUGUCUCAAAACAGAAAACAGAAGAAGGAAGAGAUACCACACAGCAAUUACCUCUUAUGAAACUACUUUUUGGUAUAGAUGCUAAAGAAAACUAUUCACAAUUCUCUGGAAAUACUGAAAUGUUCUUCUUUUUGCCAAAAGCAUAUCCUUAGGAGGUCAAAUCUUCUUUAUAUUUCAACCAAAAAUAGCAGAUUGGAAGCAAAACCAGGGCCUGGUACAUGCUAGGAAAGCACUAUACCAUAGAGCUGUGCCCCCAGCCCUCAUGCUUUAAUACAAUCACCUGUGCCAUUGUCUCGAGAGGUGCCUGGAGGAGGUGAGAGAUUUGUUAGAAAGACUGUGUUGAUAGAUGAUGGUGGAUUUAAGCAGGCUGGAGCAAUGGAAGAGGAGUUAACAAUAUAACCACAAGCCUGGAUGUCACUUCAAGGAGUCCUAGUCCACCUUCCCACCCAGCCUUCCACCAACUCUGAGCAACCGGAAAAGGAAGUGUUAUUGCUCAGUGUCCUUGUCGGGGCUUUCUAGCUGACAGUCAGAGAUAAAGGAGCGGGUGAAUUAUUAUUUGCUAGUUAAGGAAAUUCAUCACAAUGAUUCUUCUUCUUAUGGAAAAGGAACAAGCCUGGUGCUGAGUACAGUGGCAAAUCUGAUCUGAAGUUACCUUAGAAGACCAAUCAUUGCAGGAAUAUCCAUACUGACUUAAAAUUGAUCAAAGACCUAGUUAUAAGACCUGAAACUUUGAUACUGCUAGAAGAAAACAUAAAGGGAAUACCUGAAGUAAUAGGCCCAAGUAAAACUUUCUGAAUAGAACUCCAACAGCACAGGAAAUAAUAACAAAAAUCAAUAAAUGCACAGUAAAGGAAGCAAUCAACAGAAUGAAGACUAAUCAACAGAAUGAAGAGUAAAGGAAGCAAUCAACAGAAUGAAGAGCAGAAUGAAGAGCAAUCCCAUUACAGAAUGGGAGCAAAUCUUUGCCAGCUACUCUUCUGACAGAGAAUCAGUCUCUAGAAUACAUAAAGAACUAAAAAAGCUUAACACCAAAAAUAUCCCAACCAAUAAAUGGGCAAAUAAAUGGACACUUUUCAAAUAAGUACAAAUGGCCAAUAAGUGUACACUUCCCUUUUAGUCCUCAGGGUCUCCUACAACUUUAAAAAAAACUAACAAAUUCAAGGUGGAGUUUAAAAGGCAUGUGAGAAAAUUAAGGGCAAGGAGGUCCAGGAGAGGUAUAUGUAUUUAGAAAUUGGCCUGCCCUCGCAUCAUGCUUAUCAACUUGUGAAACCUCCUACAACCUGUUAUUGUGACCCUGGAACAGAGCUGAUGAUCCAUCCCAUAGUGAGAAAUAAAAUGCCUAAUUCUUGAUCUGCACUUGUGCAGUUCCUGUCAGGCCUUGGAUGUCCUUAGGACACAGUUACAUCCUUCUUUUUGUACCC
Long non-coding RNA from Heterocephalus glaber (naked mole-rat), 1827 nucleotides. RefSeq lists it as uncharacterized. NCBI's taxonomy places the organism in Eukaryota, Metazoa, Chordata, Mammalia, Rodentia, Bathyergidae. The record is from RefSeq and is a predicted model, not a curated record.